GAUUCUGGCUCAGGAUGAACGCUGGCGGCGUGCCUAACACAUGCAAGUCGAACGGACCUUUACCAACUGCGAUUCGUCAAAGGAAGUAUAAGGUUAGUGGCGGACGGGUGAGUAACGCGUGGGUAACCUGCCUCAUAGAGGGGGAUAACAGUUGGAAACGAUUGCUAAUACCGCAUAAGCCCACAGGACCGCAUGGUCCAGGGGGAAAAGAUUCAUCGCUAUGAGAUGGACCCGCGUUUGAUUAGUUAGUUGGCGGUGUAACGGACCACCAAGACGACGAUCAAUAGCCGGACUGAGAGGUUGAACGGCCACAUUGGGACUGAGACACGGCCCAAACUCCUACGGGAGGCAGCAGUGGGGAAUAUUGCACAAUGGGGGAAACCCUGAAUGCAGCGACGCCGCGUGGGUGAAGAAGUUUUUCGGAAUGUAAAGCCCUAUCAGCAGGGAAGAAAAUGACGGUACCUGACUAAGAAGCCCCGGCUAACUACGUGCCAGCCGCAGC
RNAcentral lists this ribosomal RNA (502 nucleotides) under uncultured bacterium. Its description in RNAcentral is "bacterial SSU rRNA". It matches the Rfam family "Bacterial small subunit ribosomal RNA", at positions 15 to 518 of the family's 1533-position model. The record is from RNAcentral.